CAAAAGAAAACCUAAUCUGCUGUUUGUGUCUUUCUCUUCUCCUUUCCUUUAUCUCUGCAGAAACGAAAUCCCUAAAUCGCGAAGCACCCAAGCACCGACGCCGCUCUGCCGCUCUCGUCAGUCGUCACCGCCCUCGCGCUCGCACCACCGCCGCCAUUCCGCCGGUCAUCUGAAGCUUUGCUGAGCCGCUGACCCCCGCCGAGCUCCUCUGGUUUUGCCCGCGAAGUCGCUGAGCCCCGCCGAGCUCGCACCUGAGCAGUGACGCCGCCUCCGUUCGAUCGCCUCAUCCCACCUGCUGCUGUUGCCUCGCCGACGCCCUUGAUCGACAAAUCUCCGUUCGAUCGCCCCUCGCCGCGAAGUCGCUGACCCCCGCAAAUCUCGCGUUCGCAAAUCUCCCCUGUUGCUGAUCUACCGACGCCCGAACGACGCCCCCCCUGCUCUGCUCGCUGACACCAGCUGAAGCCGCGUCCCACCGAGCCCCUUGCUGCAAUUUGGGAGUGCUUCUGUUCUGUUUUCUGGGAUCCAAGCCAUUCUGAAUCUCUGAUUGUGCUGUCCAUCAGAGGCCAAAAUGCAGAUUUCUAAUCGAUGGGUGACAACUAGGCCCAAGGUCCCCUGCGAUUUGUGAACUCCGCCGUGCUAUUUACGUCUGGGGAGUACCGAUAGUUGCAGGCACGAGGGCUUGGUUAGGUCUUGGGUACGAUCCUUCUGAGGUACAUUGUGAAACCCUCGACGUAGAUAAUUUAUGUUUGGUGUGCAGAUUGUAACAGUUCGAGUCCUCGAAGCGAGUUGC
This is a long non-coding RNA of Eucalyptus grandis, 790 nucleotides long. RefSeq lists it as uncharacterized. The record is from RefSeq and is a predicted model, not a curated record. Lineage: Eukaryota; Viridiplantae; Streptophyta; Magnoliopsida; Myrtales; Myrtaceae. The transcript is spliced from 3 exons.